UCUAAUAUGGCAGAAUAAGUGCCAUGGAUUUAAGCUCCAUAUAUAAAGAAAUAUCCUUUUAUUAGAA
RNAcentral lists this transfer RNA (67 nucleotides) under Ocellarnaca braueri. Its description in RNAcentral is "tRNA-Leu". The record is from RNAcentral. Lineage: Eukaryota; Metazoa; Arthropoda; Insecta; Orthoptera; Gryllacrididae.